Molecule: ribosomal RNA, 348 nt
Filed under: Marmota monax (woodchuck)
Lineage: Eukaryota; Metazoa; Chordata; Mammalia; Rodentia; Sciuridae
Description: Eukaryotic small subunit ribosomal RNA
Rfam family: Eukaryotic small subunit ribosomal RNA
Source: Rfam by way of RNAcentral
UUUUCCAGACGUUUUUCAUGCAACUGCUCAUUUCAAAGAAUUAGCUGUACAUUUUAUUCAUACUCUCCAUAUCCAUAAAAAUAUACAUAUAUUGCAUUUCAUUUCAUUUAUUUUUUUAAAGAGUAUAUUCUUCGGGCCGAUCACAUGCCCCCGUGGUGGUGAUGACCCAUUUGAAUGUCUGCCCUAUCAACUUUCGAUGGUAGUCGCCAUGCCUACCAUGGUGACCACAGGUGACGAAGAAUCAGGGUUCAAUUUCAGAGAGGGAGCCUGAGAAACGGCUACCACAUGCAAGUAAGGCAGCAGGCAUGCAAAUUACCCACUCCCAACCUGGGGAGGUAGUGACAAAAA